GCAUAGCCCCGAUGGGAACGGCAUCCUUUUUUGUUAUUGCGAUUGUUGAUAAGUUCUACAGAUUGCUUCACUUUGUUCGCAAUGACAAGAAAGAUAUAGUGGACAGCGGGUUGGGAU
This 117-nucleotide small RNA is filed under the name Epilithonimonas bovis DSM 19482. RNAcentral's name for it is "Chryseobacterium bovis DSM 19482 Flavo-1 RNA". It matches the Rfam family "Flavo-1 RNA". Lineage: Bacteria; Pseudomonadati; Bacteroidota; Flavobacteriia; Flavobacteriales; Weeksellaceae. The record is from RNAcentral.